UACGAAGGGGGCUAGCGUUGCUCGGAAUUACUGGGCGUAAAGCGCACGUAGGCGGUCUUUUAAGUCGGGGGUGAAAUCCUGGAGCUCAACUCCAGAACUGCCUUCGAUACUGGAAGACUUGAGUCCGGGAGAGGUGAGUGGAACUGCGAGUGUAGAGGUGAAAUUUCGUAGAUAUUCGCAAGAACACCAGUGGCGAAGGCGGCUCACUGGCCCGGUACUGACGCUGAGGUGCGAAAGCGUGGGGAGCAAACAGG
RNAcentral lists this ribosomal RNA (254 nucleotides) under uncultured bacterium. RNAcentral's name for it is "partial 16S ribosomal RNA". It matches the Rfam family "Bacterial small subunit ribosomal RNA", at positions 524 to 776 of the family's 1533-position model. The record is from RNAcentral.